Callithrix jacchus (white-tufted-ear marmoset) is the source of this 331-nucleotide long non-coding RNA. RefSeq lists it as uncharacterized. Lineage: Eukaryota; Metazoa; Chordata; Mammalia; Primates; Cebidae. The record is from RefSeq and is a predicted model, not a curated record.
GUUCCAUCACGGUUUCUCAGUGGCCCAGAGAGGUGGCAGUAACAGGAAGUCAUCAGAGGACCAUGAUCCUUUAAGCUCUUAAUGGUCAAGCCACAGCAUGAACCGAAACCCAGAAAUUUUUCCCAGGAGGGUGCCAUCAUAUUUACAGGAACCAUAGAUGUACAACUUCCAUUUGGCAAGAACCACUUAGAAUCCAGUCGAAUUCAACAGGAGUGCUGAACCUGGAAUCAGAAUACCCAAGUUUGAUUCUGCCUCUGAAGUCUUCUACUGUGACUUUAAGUAAGUCAUGAAAACUCAGUGAGUUUCAAUGGCCCCAUCUGCAAAAAUUCGU